RNAcentral lists this ribosomal RNA (993 nucleotides) under Frigoribacterium faeni. Its description in RNAcentral is "bacterial SSU rRNA". It matches the Rfam family "Bacterial small subunit ribosomal RNA", at positions 434 to 1441 of the family's 1533-position model. The record is from RNAcentral. Lineage: Bacteria; Bacillati; Actinomycetota; Actinomycetes; Micrococcales; Microbacteriaceae.
UUAGUAGGGAAGAAGCGAAAGUGACGGUACCUGCAGAAAAAGCACCGGCUAACUACGUGCCAGCAGCCGCGGUAAUACGUAGGGUGCAAGCGUUGUCCGGAAUUAUUGGGCGUAAAGAGCUCGUAGGCGGUUUGUCGCGUCUGCUGUGAAAUCUGGGGGCUCAACCCCCAGCCUGCAGUGGGUACGGGCAGACUAGAGUGCGGUAGGGGAGAUUGGAAUUCCUGGUGUAGCGGUGGAAUGCGCAGAUAUCAGGAGGAACACCGAUGGCGAAGGCAGAUCUCUGGGCCGUAACUGACGCUGAGGAGCGAAAGCAUGGGGAGCGAACAGGAUUAGAUACCCUGGUAGUCCAUGCCGUAAACGUUGGGAACUAGAUGUGGGGGCCAUUCCACGGUCUCCGUGUCGCAGCUAACGCAUUAAGUUCCCCGCCUGGGGAGUACGGCCGCAAGGCUAAAACUCAAAGGAAUUGACGGGGGCCCGCACAAGCGGCGGAGCAUGCGGAUUAAUUCGAUGCAACGCGAAGAACCUUACCAAGGCUUGACAUAUACCGGAAACGUCCAGAGAUGGUCGCCCCGCAAGGUCGGUAUACAGGUGGUGCAUGGUUGUCGUCAGCUCGUGUCGUGAGAUGUUGGGUUAAGUCCCGCAACGAGCGCAACCCUCGUUCUAUGUUGCCAGCACGUUAUGGUGGGAACUCAUAGGAGACUGCCGGGGUCAACUCGGAGGAAGGUGGGGAUGACGUCAAAUCAUCAUGCCCCUUAUGUCUUGGGCUUCACGCAUGCUACAAUGGCCGGUACAAAGGGCUGCGAUACCGUAAGGUGGAGCGAAUCCCAAAAAGCCGGUCUCAGUUCGGAUUGAGGUCUGCAACUCGACCUCAUGAAGUCGGAGUCGCUAGUAAUCGCAGAUCAGCAACGCUGCGGUGAAUACGUUCCCGGGCCUUGUACACACCGCCCGUCAAGUCAUGAAAGUCGGUAACACCCGAAGCCAGUGGCCUAACCC